AUAUGCUUUACUUUUGAAAUGUUUUACAGUUUAAACUGCAGGCAUUUCCUAUUUUUUACAGCUCAACCUUUCACAUGAUGCAAUUACAUCUUAGAUGAAACACAAAAUUUCUGCAUUCAGAAUUGUAAUACGAUCACAGCAUUGUCUCUGUUUUUCUAUAAGAAUUGUUUUUCUUAACAAAGGCUAAAAUUUAUGUCAAAGUAUUUAAGCAGAGUACGAUGGAGACACCAAAUAGCCUACCUCUUGAUGCACUGAUUAAACAAUACCUAGAAAAUGCAAAUGAUGGGAUUUUCAUGCUGGAAUUGUAAUGAUUUGCUCUUGUUUUAUACCAUGCUCAAAAGAAUGACAGGCACAGUACAGAAGAAAUCCAAGCCUCUGUCAUUAAUAUCUUACAAAAGCUCCAGUCCUGCAGAUGCAAUUGGAAAUUCUUCAGCUUUAUUCAGGGAGCGAGCGCUGUCUUCAGCAGAAACUCAGUGGAAUCCAGUGGAAUUCAUCUCACAAGCAAGGAAAUCCCCUGCAGACCCAAUAAUCCCAUGGUGUGUCAUCUGUGAAGAAUGUACAUGAGAUCCUGAGCACCAAAGGCCUGUCGGUGACCAUGACAUGCACUGAAGAACCAGCCAACCAGACUGAGCUCCACAAUCUAUGUGAGAUGUGCUCAGAGACCUAUUUCUGCUUGGGUACCUGCUUCAACAGGAACGAUGAGUGGCACUGUACAUUGGCAUGGCUGUUUGUGAUGACUUUCCACAAUAUUCAGCAGCAGGUAUUAUAUCUGCAAUAAGAUCUCAUUGACCUGAGUUAAAUGGAGGGUUCACCCUCUUAGCAAAGGACGCUGAACCCUGGUGCCUCUAGUAGGAGACUGGACUUAUGAGGCUUGCUUGCUGUAUCACCAGUACUAAAAUGAUUGGGGUUCAGGUGUUUAGCAGUCUGAAUACCCCAAAAUGAGCAGAAAGCAAAUUCUGAUGGCUCAGGGACAGUGGAGAGAGCAAAGGUGAUACCGCACAGGGAGGGAUGCAGACUGGGCUGAAGGUCAGGUGGCGGAGGAAUGUGUUGUGCAGGAAAACCCAGAGAAAAAAAUAUGGGAUGAGCACCAUCAGGGACUGGAUGGGGAUUGUUGGUUUGUGCUGCUUUUCCAUCCAGUAGAAUAGAUGUGUUCUACUGUUCCGCAAUGUUAGUGUGUUAAAUAACCCAAAUAUCCAGUGCAUCCCUGCAUCCAGAUCAGGUCAGACCUUCUGUACGUGCUGUAUGUAUCUUGCACCCAUUUGGUGAACUCUGGCAUUGUUCUGGGCAUCCAGAAACCCUAAACAAGCACAACUGCCCAAACAGCAGAGACAAAGCAUCCUUAGCACUUUCUAAGCAAAUCCCAAAUCUGCUGGUAGUGCCCCACAUGGGGGAAGCUAAAGCAGGUGGGCA
This 1410-nucleotide long non-coding RNA is filed under the name Anas platyrhynchos platyrhynchos (common mallard). RNAcentral describes it as "lncRNA (ENSAPLG00000021791.1)". The record is from RNAcentral. Lineage: Eukaryota; Metazoa; Chordata; Aves; Anseriformes; Anatidae.